UACGGAAGGGGCAAGCGUUGUUCGGAAUCAUUGGGCGUAAAGGGCGCGUAGGUGGUUCUGUAUGUCUAUCGUGAAAGCGUACGGCUCAACCGUAUUUUGUCGGUAGAAACUGCAGGACUUGAGGCUGGGAGGGGCUGGUGGAAUUCCCUGUGUAGCGGUGAAAUGCGUAGAGAUGGGGGAGAACACUCGUGGUGAAGGCGGCCAGCUAGACCAGUUCUGACACUGAGGCGCGACAGCGUGGGGAGCAAACAGG
This 253-nucleotide ribosomal RNA is filed under the name uncultured bacterium. Its description in RNAcentral is "partial 16S ribosomal RNA". It matches the Rfam family "Bacterial small subunit ribosomal RNA", at positions 524 to 776 of the family's 1533-position model. The record is from RNAcentral.